GGAGGUAUAGCUCAAGGGGUAGAGUUUGUGCUUAGCACGCAGGAGGUCCUGGGUUCAAUCCCCAGUGCCUCAA
This 73-nucleotide transfer RNA is filed under the name Camelus bactrianus (Bactrian camel). It matches the Rfam family "tRNA". From Rfam's summary of the family: Transfer RNA (tRNA) molecules are approximately 80 nucleotides in length. Their secondary structure includes four short double-helical elements and three loops (D, anti-codon, and T loops). RNAcentral also lists the same sequence under 2 other names. Lineage: Eukaryota; Metazoa; Chordata; Mammalia; Artiodactyla; Camelidae. The record is from Rfam by way of RNAcentral.